AACAAUUAAUUCAAGAUAAAUCACUCCCCCAUGCACAGUAAGAAUAAUGGGUACCUGUGCAUCAUUAUGUGUGUUUCAGAGAUUCUUUUUACAAUUAUUGAAAGCAAUAAUGCUGAUCAGAGAGAGAGAGAGAGAGAGAGAGAGAGAGAGAGAGAGAGAGAGAGAGAGAGAGAGAGAGAGAGAGAGAGAGAGAGAGAGAGAGAGAGACGGGGUGAUCUAGGUGGUUUUUCAUGUUAGUUUUACAAUCAUCGUUUCCUUAAAAAAAAAAAAAUUAGGUUGUAUUGCUAUAAUGAACUUUUUUUAAACCUUUCUAUCUAAUCUAUCAAGUUAUUUACACGUAUAUAACAUUGGUGAGGCUUGAAUGUGCGUGUGCCUGUACGUGCGUGCGUGUAUAUGUGUGUAAAGACCAUGUACAUGUGUCUGUAUGCAUGUUACGUGCGUGUUAUAUCCCUAAAUGUUUGUUAUUAAGGAGUAGAAAGUUACAGAGGGUACAUUAGACACCGAAAUGUUAUGUUAUGUUAUGUUACCUCGUAUUAUAUGAAACACUCCGCCCUUUGCUUGGGUCCGGACUCUCUUAACUACUAUGUACAGAGACAGCUUGGCAAAAUAAACUGGUAUAAAUAGAAUGAUAAAAAAGGGAGCUAUUGACAAAGUGGCUAUAUAUAAUGUACAAGGCAAUCACUAGCUACUGAAGAGUGACUGAGAGCGUUCCUCAAAUAGUGUGGGAAUGUGCAAGUUGGGUUCUGAAACUGUUUUGAGAUUUUUACUUUUUGUUUCCAAGAUUGAUUUAAAUGAUUCGUGGUAUUUCUACUUAAAACGUGAAAUAAAGAUUGAAAAAUGA
This is a long non-coding RNA of Portunus trituberculatus (swimming crab), 841 nucleotides long. RefSeq lists it as uncharacterized. The record is from RefSeq and is a predicted model, not a curated record. The transcript has 3 exons. NCBI's taxonomy places the organism in Eukaryota, Metazoa, Arthropoda, Malacostraca, Decapoda, Portunidae.